GUUCAGACUUUAUUUCGCCUUAUUACAGUGCCGGAGAUAGUAUUCCAUUCACUUCAUGUGGUAUCAUUUGGCACACUUCCGUAAACCUGAUUGUUUAAAGUCAAGUU
This 107-nucleotide microRNA precursor is filed under the name Schistosoma mansoni. RNAcentral describes it as "microRNA sma-mir-8461 precursor". The record is from miRBase by way of RNAcentral. Lineage: Eukaryota; Metazoa; Platyhelminthes; Trematoda; Strigeidida; Schistosomatidae.